AUUGAACGCUGGCGGCAUGCUUUACACAUGCAAGUCGAACGGCAGCGCGGGCUUCGGCCUGGCGGCGAGUGGCGAACGGGUGAGUAAUACAUCGGAACGUGCCCAGUAGUGGGGGAUAGCUCGGCGAAAGCCGGAUUAAUACCGCAUACGACCUGAGGGUGAAAGCGGGGGAUCUUCGGACCUCGCGCUAUUGGAGCGGCCGAUGGCAGAUUAGCUAGUUGGUGGGGUAAAGGCCUACCAAGGCGACGAUCUGUAGCUGGUCUGAGAGGACGACCAGCCACACUGGGACUGAGACACGGCCCAGACUCCUACGGGAGGCAGCAGUGGGGAAUUUUGGACAAUGGGCGAAAGCCUGAUCCAGCAAUGCCGCGUGUGUGAUGAAGGCCUUCGGGUUGUAAAGCACUUUUGGCGGGAACGAAAAGGACUGUGCCAAUACCACGGUUCGAUGACGGUACCCGCAGAAUAGGCACCGGCUAACUACGUG
Molecule: ribosomal RNA, 484 nt
Filed under: uncultured bacterium
Lineage: Bacteria
Description: partial 16S ribosomal RNA
Rfam family: Bacterial small subunit ribosomal RNA
Source: RNAcentral